RNAcentral lists this ribosomal RNA (119 nucleotides) under Triticum aestivum (bread wheat). The record is from RNAcentral. Lineage: Eukaryota; Viridiplantae; Streptophyta; Magnoliopsida; Poales; Poaceae. RNAcentral also lists the same sequence under 1 other name.
GGAUGCGAUCAUACCAGCACUAAAGCACCGGAUCCCAUCAGAACUCCGAAGUUAAGCGUGCUUGGGCGAGAGUAGUACUAGGAUGGGUGACCUCCUGGGUAGUCCUCGUGUUGCAUUCC